This 584-nucleotide long non-coding RNA is filed under the name Malus domestica (apple). Its description in RNAcentral is "long non-coding RNA (MDOM_LNC001164)". The record is from RNAcentral. Lineage: Eukaryota; Viridiplantae; Streptophyta; Magnoliopsida; Rosales; Rosaceae.
UGUUUAUCGGUAGCAAGUCAACAGGCACUGAUCCCAGCUCCUUGAACUCGGAGGAAACUUUGGAUCCACGCUUUGUUUCUGGGAAUAUUGUGAUCUGUGACAGUUGAAUAAGCCUAACGUGCAGAAGGGACUGGCGGUGAAAGAUGGAGGAGGAAGAGGAGGACGAGUAGGUAUGAUUUUGCCAAACACAGCUGCAUCGCUUAAGAAUGCGGAGUUUCAUUUCUAUAUAGGCCAAUCGUGAGGUGCAAAACCAAAGCAUGUUGCAGCCCCAAACAUCAUCAUGAAAGCUCUGAAGCGGAACUUCGUGUUCUUGGCAAAAUCACAGGUAAGAGUUGCCAAUCAAUAUUUCAGGUGUGUUCUGUUUCUUUAUAUUGCAUUUUUUGUUUUUCUUUAUGUCUACUCGAUUGAAAAAAGUAGUAUUUCGAAUUUUCAGUCAGUGGCAGGUUUCACUCUACAGAGGAAGAAUGAUGCCGUCAACAAAUAAGCAAAAUAUACCUGUACGUGUAUACUGGUAGCAAUUCACCAAGCCCUGAUCCCAUUUCCUUGUUUUGGAAGCAACUUUGAAUUGCUGUGUUGUUGCCAGG